This 24-nucleotide non-coding RNA is filed under the name Arabidopsis thaliana (thale cress). Lineage: Eukaryota; Viridiplantae; Streptophyta; Magnoliopsida; Brassicales; Brassicaceae. The record is from RNAcentral.
AAGAUGUCAGUUUGAUGGUUCAUG